GUGCUCGCUUCGGCAGCACAUAUACUAAAAAAAAACUGUACCGAUACAGAGAAGAUUUGCAUGGCAAGGAUGACACAAAUUCAUUAGCGUUCCACAUUUUA
RNAcentral lists this small nuclear RNA (101 nucleotides) under Echinops telfairi (small Madagascar hedgehog). Lineage: Eukaryota; Metazoa; Chordata; Mammalia; Afrosoricida; Tenrecidae. The record is from RNAcentral.